Acomys russatus (golden spiny mouse) is the source of this 71-nucleotide small nucleolar RNA. RefSeq annotates it as small nucleolar RNA SNORD61. The transcript has a single exon. NCBI's taxonomy places the organism in Eukaryota, Metazoa, Chordata, Mammalia, Rodentia, Muridae. The record is from RefSeq and is a predicted model, not a curated record.
GCUGUGAUGAAUUUGAAUCCAUUGAUCACAUGACAUGAUAAUAUAUUUGUCCUCUAAGAAGUUCUGAGCUU